This is a long non-coding RNA of Myotis davidii, 1929 nucleotides long. RefSeq lists it as uncharacterized. NCBI's taxonomy places the organism in Eukaryota, Metazoa, Chordata, Mammalia, Chiroptera, Vespertilionidae. The record is from RefSeq and is a predicted model, not a curated record. The transcript has 2 exons.
UGCGGGCAGGAGCUGCUGACAGCAGCUGACUGAGUCCCCUGCUCAGCCUCACCCACCGCCAGAAGCAACGCUUGGAUCCCACGCGGACGGUGCUCCCUGCUCCACACGAGUGCGGGCAGCCACUGUGACACCCACAGGUCAGCGUCCUCCCUCCUGAGCGCAGCUGUUACAAGUGCAGCGCGUCCUGUUUCGCCUUUUCUUUUCGCUUGGUUGGUAAUUGUCCCAAAGCCACUGGACCAAGGAUGAGCGUGACUGUGCGUGUUCGUGUGAUACCCGGACGUGGUUGAGCUGUCAGCAGGCCUGGAAAACGCCUAUGCAGUUCAGGUAUGGUGACAGGCUGUGCGGUGCAGGUAUGGUAACAGCCUGUGCGGUGCAGGUAUGGUAACAGCCUGGGCGGUUAGGUAUGGUAACAGCCUGUGCGGUGCAGCGAUGGUAACAGCCUGUGCGGUGCAGGUAGGGUAACAGCCUGUGCGGUUAGGUAUGGUGACAGCCUGUGCAGUGCAGGUAUGGUAACAGCCUAUGCGGUGCAGGUAUGGUAACAGCCUGGGCGGUUAGGUAUGGUAACAGCCUGUGCGGUGCAGCGAUGGUAACAGCCUGUGCGGUGCAGGUAGGGUAACAGCCUGUGCGGUUAGGUAUGGUGACAGCCUGUGCAGUGCAGGUAUGGUAACAGCCUAUGCGGUGCAGGUAUGGUAACAGCCUGGGCGGUUAGGUAUGGUAACAGCCUGUGCGGUGCAGCGAUGGUAACAGCCUGUGCGGUGCAGGUAGGGUAACAGCCUGUGCGGUUAGGUAUGGUGACAGCCUGUGCAGUGCAGGUAUGGUAACAGCCUAUGCGGUGCAGGUAUGGUAACAGCCUGGGCGGUUAGGUAGGGUAACAGCCUGUGCGGUUAGGUAUGGUGACAGCCUGUGCAGUGCAGGUAUGGUAACAGCCUAUGCGGUGCAGGUAUGGUAACAGCCUGGGCGGUUAGGUAUGGUAACAGCCUGUGCGGUGCAGCGAUGGUAACAGCCUGUGCGGUGCAGGUAUGGUUACAGCCUGUGCGGUGCAGGUAUGGUAACAGCCUGUGCGGUUAGGUAUGGUAACAGCCUGUGCGGUUCGGUAUGGUAACAGGCUGUGCGGUUCGGGUAUGGUAACAGGCUGUGCGGUUAGGUAUGGUAACAGCCUGUGCGGUUCGGGUAUGGUAACAGCCUGUGCGGUUAGGUAUGGUAAAGGUCUAUGCGGUUCGGGUAUGGUAACAGGCUGUGCGGUUAGGUAUGGUAAAGGUCUAUGCGGUUCGGAUAUGGUAACAGCCGAGAAACUACAGAAACCAGACAGAGACUGUGUGCGCCUGCAGAGCCUGCCUGCCUUCUGUGCUGACGCGUCUCCUGCAGAGGACGCCUCCCUGCCCCAGCUCCGGUCCCAGCUCACACCCCUCCGGAAGGCCGGGGUGAGGGGUCUGGAGCCCCCUGCAGCCAGGGGCGCCCCGGGUCGUUGCACAGCCCGAGGUUUGCCCUCUUUCUGAAGGGGAUCCUGGCAUACCCCAGCACCCUGAGCUGGAAGAAGGGAGACGGGGUCCCGGCAGCAUGGCUGAGAGCAGGCCCCUGUUCUCCAGAGCUGCGUCCCAGGAGCCCCCGGGCCCCGGCAGGCAAGGGCACGGCAGCCUCUGUUGCUGAAAGGACGACAUAGUGGCUGUGCUAAGACUGGCUCUCGUGGUCCCCGUGGCCUGGGACUUAUCUGGGAUUGUCCCUCCCGCCCCUCACCCUAGCUCACACCAUUUUCCCGUUUUCUUCACUCUGAUUUGGGGGAAAGGAAGCUACUUUACGACAAGUGAAAAACAAACACUUUGAACUUCAUGUAACUGGAGUGUUACACCUGCAGGACGCAGCGCUGCUGGAGUGCCAAACCUCAGUGCUGGGCCCUCCUUCCUCCCGCGGGCUCUCCCUCAGCCAUGACCC